RNAcentral lists this ribosomal RNA (514 nucleotides) under uncultured bacterium. Its description in RNAcentral is "bacterial SSU rRNA". It matches the Rfam family "Bacterial small subunit ribosomal RNA", at positions 33 to 518 of the family's 1533-position model. The record is from RNAcentral.
ACGCUGGCGGCGUGCCUAAUACAUGCAAGUCGAACGGCUUUUUCUAUGGAAGCUUGCUUCCACUGAGAAGAUAGUGGCGAACGGGUGAGUAACACGUGGGUAACCUGCCCAUAAGAGGGGGAUAACAUCCGGAAACGGGUGCUAAUACCGCAUAGUUUUUCUUGAUCGCAUGAUUGAGAAAGGAAAGACGGCCUUUGUGCUGUCGCUUAUGGAUGGACCCGCGGCGUAUUAGUUAGUUGGUGAGGUAACGGCUCACCAAGACGAUGAUACGUAGCCGACCUGAGAGGGUGAUCGGCCACAUUGGGACUGAGACACGGCCCAAACUCCUACGGGAGGCAGCAGUAGGGAAUCUUCCGCAAUGGACGAAAGUCUGACGGAGCAACGCCGCGUGAGUGAAGAAAGGUUUUCGGAUCGUAAAACUCUGUUGUCAGAGAAGAACAAGUUGGAGAGUAACUGCUCCAGCCUUGACGGUAUCUGACCAGAAAGCCACGGCUAACUACGUGCCAGCAGCCGC